GUCUUCGUGGUGUAGUGGUUAGCACGCUCGGCGCGUAUUCGAGAGGUCCGUGGUUCGAGUCCCGGCGAGGGCA
Molecule: transfer RNA, 73 nt
Filed under: Stegodyphus mimosarum
Lineage: Eukaryota; Metazoa; Arthropoda; Arachnida; Araneae; Eresidae
Rfam family: tRNA
About the family: Transfer RNA (tRNA) molecules are approximately 80 nucleotides in length. Their secondary structure includes four short double-helical elements and three loops (D, anti-codon, and T loops).
Source: Rfam by way of RNAcentral